This 86-nucleotide non-coding RNA is filed under the name unclassified sequences. RNAcentral's name for it is "RAGATH-10 RNA". It matches the Rfam family "RAGATH-10 RNA". From Rfam's summary of the family: RNA motif Associated with Genes Associated with Twister and Hammerhead ribozymes (RAGATH). The record is from Rfam by way of RNAcentral.
GAAACCUCAUCUUGCUCAAGCGCCAUCCUGGCGCCAGGGCAGCGUUUUUAUAAAACACGGACAUUCCGUCCGAGUGAGGAGAGAGG